This 561-nucleotide ribosomal RNA is filed under the name Eutypella quaternata. Its description in RNAcentral is "eukaryotic LSU rRNA". The stretch from base 184 to 337 matches the Rfam family "5.8S ribosomal RNA". Lineage: Eukaryota; Fungi; Ascomycota; Sordariomycetes; Xylariales; Diatrypaceae. The record is from RNAcentral.
UGUGAACUUACCUAUGUUGCCUCGGCGGGGAAGCUACCCUGGAGCUACCCUGUACCUACCCGCGAGCUACCCUGUAGCUCGCGGGGGAACGUACCCUGUAGCUACCCCGCAGCCUACCCGCCGGCGGACCACUAAACUCUUGUUUCUUAGUGAUAUUCUGAGUGUUUUAAACUAAAUAAUUAAAACUUUCAACAACGGAUCUCUUGGUUCUGGCAUCGAUGAAGAACGCAGCGAAAUGCGAUAAGUAAUGUGAAUUGCAGAAUUCAGUGAAUCAUCGAAUCUUUGAACGCACAUUGCGCCCAUUAGUAUUCUAGUGGGCAUGCCUGUUCGAGCGUCAUUUCAACCCUUAAGCCUCAGCUGCUUAGUGUCGGGGGCCUCGCCUAGCUAUAGACGCCGGGCGACCCCCUAGAAUCAUUGGCGGAGUCGUGGCGACCCCAAGCGUAGUAAUCUUUAUCUCGCUUCAGGUGUGUCGUCGCUGGCGUCCUGCCGUUAAACCCCCUAAUUUUAUAAUGGUUGACCUCGGAUCAGGUAGGAAUACCCGCUGAACUUAAGCAUAUCAAA